This 330-nucleotide long non-coding RNA is filed under the name Brassica napus (rape). RNAcentral's name for it is "long non-coding RNA (BNAP_LNC021000)". Lineage: Eukaryota; Viridiplantae; Streptophyta; Magnoliopsida; Brassicales; Brassicaceae. The record is from RNAcentral.
ACGGCCCAUUUUAAAUAAUCUGAGUAAGAAUCUAUCCGUGGAUCGCACCGCUUUUUAGAGAUUAGAUUGAGUUUUUUUAUAGAAUCUUGAUACUUCAAAAUUAAACGAACAAAAAAACUAAAAACACUUUUAUAUGAUAAGUUUUUUUACCACGAUAUAAUACAAAAGCCAUAAAGACAGAUUUGACCAACAUGAAACCGUUUCACAUUCACUCUUAGCAUAAUAUAGUAAAAUGCUAAUGUCUUCAUCUACAAAUAUACUAAGGUUACAAAGUUUCUAAUGUUGAUUACUCAAUACAGCGUCACAACAACAAAGCAGUUAAUAUCUCGA